Molecule: long non-coding RNA, 314 nt
Filed under: Helianthus annuus (common sunflower)
Lineage: Eukaryota; Viridiplantae; Streptophyta; Magnoliopsida; Asterales; Asteraceae
Description: hypothetical non coding rna
Source: RNAcentral
GUAUACAAAUUGCUUUUGUUGCAUCUCUGCAAUCAUUUAAUCAAGAAAUCAUCCUUAGUUAACCUCCAUGGCACAAAAACCAAAUUGAUUUCGGGACCUUAGACUCAUCCUAUGUUGCAUGAUAUGAGCAUGAGGAAGAUAAUGGUUUCCAAAUGCAAAAACUAAUAACAUGAUCCAUCAAGAAGCAUACAAAUCCUAAAUUACACAUAAAUCUGACAUGAUGAAGCAAUGCACUAAUAGACAAAUGGGCUAUGAGCCAAGGGUCAAGGUUUAAAAAAACGGAAACGAGUUUCGAGGCGUUUUCCCUUCGCCUC